This 3361-nucleotide unclassified non-coding RNA is filed under the name Pomacea canaliculata. RNAcentral describes it as "spermatogenesis-associated protein 5-like, transcript variant X3". Lineage: Eukaryota; Metazoa; Mollusca; Gastropoda; Architaenioglossa; Ampullariidae. The record is from RNAcentral.
GGGUGCAGUUUCUUGGGGAAGAGGCCAUUGUCAAAGUCUAGAUCCAAAUAUUCAUGAUUUUAGUGUGUGCGAGGUAGACUUUUAGACACACUUGUUUAACCAGCAGGCAUGCAAGACACUGCAGCUUGUGCCCGGUAACAUCAUCACUUGUCUCUAGUAAACAGUCCGCUGAACAUCCAUACGUCAUUAUAAACCACUGAUCGAAUUUAUCAGAAAUAUAAAUUGAUCGCUUCCCCUGAUCUCGUCAGAUGGCGACGUAGCAAAAUAUGAUGACUGGUGUACGCAUUGCGGAAAUUUAUAACUCCCAAAAUGUAAGAACCUGACACUAGGCAGAUUGGACAACCACCAUACUUUUUUGUCCUUUUCCUCCACAGGAUGAUAGGCUUCUAUUUUCUCAAUUAUGGCUUAUGUUGUACUGUGGGUAUAUUAUUCGUGCUAUACUAUAUUUUUUAUGUGUAAACGUGCAAGAUUCCGUAGCAUAGAGGCGAGAGUUUUUCCUGUUUCGUAAUCCCAUAACGCUCCAUUUAUUAUGGGUAGAUUAGCUAUAUGUCUAUAUUUCCUCUUUUAUUAUUUGUAAAUGGAAGACCGUAGCACAGGAGCUUAGGGUUAGUGUUAGAAAGAUUAAGGAGACUAGAGGGCGUGUCAUGUUUUCAUCAAUCGUCUUUAAAUAAGGUUCUGAUGACAGAAAAUCUACUUUUUCGAGAUUAGGAAGAUCCGCCAUUUUGAAAUCGGAAACGGAAGUGAAGUCCUUGCUUGUAAGGUUUGUGACAAAUGGUGUCAGCAUAGGGCAAAGAGGCAACGCAUGAGACACUCAUCCAGUAAAUGAAGGUCCGUGAUUCUACCUGAGACAUCAUCAAAUCACCGUGAAAUUUUAACAUCGGCAGACCUGUAUACGUCCGUGGUACGAUCACAAACUAUUGGGAAACGAAAAAGACGAACGAUUUUGAAGCUAAUGAAGUUCGAAUAUGUCUAAAGUAUUAGCAAUGCCAUCCAAGAAGAAGACAAAGCGAGAAGAUUGGUAUGAAUGCAUGAUUUGCGGUCGCAUCGUCCAUAGAUUGGACAUUUCCAGUCACCAACAAAGCUGUAAAUCUGGACAGCCAAUCGUCCAUGGAUUUAUUAAGGAUGGAGUACUCCAUGCUACUGUCUCUUCCCAAGCUUUGUCAGAUGCAAUAGACUUGCCUACAUGCAAAGAGCAGCAUGUGCUUAUGCACCCUGCAUCCAUGCUGCUCUGUGAUCUUCAGAUUGGUCAGUUGUGUAUACUGAAUGAUUCACAUGUCUUGCGGGCAUGGCCAAAUACCAGUCUCCACCCUGUAAGUGUGGUUUUGCCAAAAACAUCAAUAUUGCAAGAAGAAAUACACUUUGAAGCUGGGAAUCUGGUCACUGUUCAGAUUUUCAAGGAUGCUGGAAGGAUAGCUGAAGAGGUUGAAAUUGAAAUAAGGACUUUGAAUGAUAUUUUCCUGAAAGAUGAAUUUCUGCAGUAUUUAAGCCUGAAAAUGGAAGGAAAGUACAUCAUGCAAGGCAGUGUUUAUACAGUGCAAUAUUUUGGAAUCUCAUGCUCUUACUGCAUCAAGAAAUUACAAGUUGAACUUCCAGUUACAUACCCUUUUGAAAUGAAACUGUCAGCACCAAAUGAAAGUGUUUUGUGUCAAGAUUUGUCAGCGCUUAAUAUUUCUGGGGUGUCUGAUCCUAAAGAUAUUUUGGACGUUUCAACAUCAUCCACACCAUUAAGAAUCUCAGAUUUUAAUUUAUCUGCAAGCAGUAUGUUAUCACCUAAACUUCAAACACCUGAGAAAUGUUUUGAAAGAGCUGAGUAUUUCCAAACACCAACUAUACAUCAGUCAGGAAAUAAAUCAGAAAUGGAUUUCAACAGAUUUGCUAAAGUGAAUGCUCAAACAAAAUUUGUGCUUUCACAUUUCAAAGGAUCCAUUUCAAAUUCUACCACCGAGAAAAAAAUAACAUUUGACUGCAUUGGUGGACUGGACAAACAGAUCAAAUCCAUUUCAGAAACUUUUCAAGUUUGUCCACAAAGAUCUGAUCUUCUGACACAUUAUGGUGAUCCCAGACCAAGAGGAAUUUUGCUCUUUGGGCCUCGUGGGACAGGAAAAACUAUGUUGGCAAAAGCGAUUGCCAAUGAAAUGUCAUUGUUUUCUAUUUACAUAUCUGGUUGUACUGAGCUCCUGAGCAAAUUUUAUGGAGAGACAGAGAAAAAGCUAAAAGACAUCUUUCAGUUAGCAGCAAAAAGAUCCCCUAGCUUGAUUAUUUUUGAUGAACUGGACAGACUGUGUCCUUCUCAAGCCAACACUCAUUCCGAUUUAGAAAAGCGUGUUGCGACCACUUUGCUCACCUUGCUUGAUGGACUUUCAGAUAAAGAGUCCAAAGUUGUGUGUUAUGUUCUUGGUAUAACCAGUAAACCUGACAGCAUUGAUCCUGCCUUACGUAGGGCUGGCCGCCUUGAUUAUGAAAUUGAAACUAGUGUGCCUUCUGCCGCAGAGAGACUGCUGAUAUUAAAAGCACACCUGCACGAUGUUCCACACAACAUAUCAGAAACUGAUCUAAAGGCCGUUUCAGAUGCAGCACAUGGUUUUGUAGGUGCCGACUUGACAGCUCUCUUAAAGAAGGCAAAACUAUGUGCUGUGAGACGUUUAAGUCAAAAGGAAGGAAUGAUGCAUGUUUUAACAUGUGAAGAUCUGCUGCUAGCUGCUAAGCAGAUUUCUCCCAGUGCCAUGAGAGAGGUGCAGCUUGAAGUUCCAGAGGUGAAAUGGGAAGAUAUUGGAGGACAAGCAGAAAUUAAAUUAAAACUGCAGCAGGCAGUUCAAUGGCCCUUGCAACAUCCUGAAUCAUUUACACGGCUUGGAAUCUCACCACCCCGUGGUGUGCUUCUGUAUGGACCUCCAGGAUGUUCUAAAACAAUGAUAGCUAAGGCAUUGGCCACUGAGAGUGGACUGAAUUUUCUGGCUGUCAAGGGUCCAGAACUCUUUACCAAAUGGGUUGGAGAAUCAGAAAGAGCUGUGCGAGAGGUUUUCCGCAAAGCUAGAGCUGCAGCCCCAUCCAUCAUAUUUUUUGAUGAGAUCGAUGUAUUAGCUGUUGAGAGAGGAAGGUGGUACCAGCAAUGUUGCCGACCGGGUGCUGACACAAUUACUGACAGAAAUUGAUGGCAUUGAAAGACUGCAAGGUGUCACCAUUGUAGCAGCUACCAAUCGUCCUGACAUGAUUGACAAGGCUUUUUUGAGGCCAGGACGCAUCGACAGAAUUCUGUAUGUGCCUUUGCCAGAUUUUUCCACAAGAAGAGAAAUCUUGCAGAUUUCAGUAAGGAAGAUGCCAUUAGCAGAAGAUGUGGUGCUGGAUGAUUUAGCAAAACAAA